Molecule: ribosomal RNA, 653 nt
Filed under: uncultured bacterium
Lineage: Bacteria
Description: bacterial SSU rRNA
Rfam family: Bacterial small subunit ribosomal RNA
Source: RNAcentral
CGCAUGAAGCAGUGUGAAAAACUCCGGUGGUAUACGAUGGAUCCGCGUCUGAUUAGCUGGUUGGCGGGGUAACAGCCCACCAAGGCGACGAUCAGUAGCCGGCCUGAGAGGGUGAACGGCCACAUUGGGACUGAGACACGGCCCAAACUCCUACGGGAGGCAGCAGUGGGGAAUAUUGCACAAUGGGGGAAACCCUGAUGCAGCGACGCCGCGUGAGUGAAGAAGUAUUUCGGUAUGUAAAGCUCUAUCAGCAGGGAAGAAAAUGACGGUACCUGACUAAGAAGCCCCGGCUAACUACGUGCCAGCAGCCGCGGUAAUACGUAGGGGGCAAGCGUUAUCCGGAUUUACUGGGUGUAAAGGGAGCGUAGACGGCAGCGCAAGUCUGAAGUGAAAUCCCAUGGCUUAACCAUGGAACUGCUUUGGAAACUGUGCAGCUGGAGUGCAGGAGAGGUAAGCGGAAUUCCUAGUGUAGCGGUGAAAUGCGUAGAUAUUAGGAGGAACACCAGUGGCGAAGGCGGCUUACUGGACUGUAACUGACGUUGAGGCUCGAAAGCGUGGGGAGCAAACAGGAUUAGAUACCCUGGUAGUCCACGCCGUAAACGAUGAUUACUAGGUGUUGGGGGACCAAGGUCCUUCGGUGCCGGCGCAAACGC